This 525-nucleotide ribosomal RNA is filed under the name uncultured bacterium. RNAcentral describes it as "bacterial SSU rRNA". It matches the Rfam family "Bacterial small subunit ribosomal RNA", at positions 355 to 896 of the family's 1533-position model. The record is from RNAcentral.
UGGGGAAUAUUGCACAAUGGGCGCAAGCCUGACGCAGCGAUGCCGCGUGCGGGAUGAAGGCCCUAGGGUUGUAAACCGCUUUCAGCAGGGAAGAAAAUGACGGUACCUGCAGAAGAAGGUGCGGCCAACUACGUGCCAGCAGCCGCGGUGACACGUAGGCACCAAGCGUUGUCCGGAUUUACUGGGUGUAAAGCGCGUGCAGGCGGUUUGAUAAGUUGGAUGUGAAAGCUCCUGGCUCAACUGGGAGAGGUCGUUCAAAACUAUCAGACUAGAGAGUGGUAGAGGAAAGUGGAAUUCCCGGUGUAGUGGUGAAAUGCGUAGAUAUCGGGAGGAACACCAGUGGCGAAGGCGGCUUUCUGGACCAUUUCUGACGCUAAGACGCGAAAGCUAGGGUAGCAAACGGGAUUAGAGACCCCGGUAGUCCACGCCCUAAACUAUGUCAACUAGACGUUGGGUUCAUUAAGGAACUUAGUGUCGAAGCUAACGCGUUAAGUUGACCGCCUGGGGAGUACGGCCGCAAGGUUG